UACAGAGGGGGCAAGCGUUGUUCGGAAUUACUGGGCGUAAAGGGCGCGUAGGCGGCCCUCUAAGUCGAACGUGAAAUCCCUGGGCUCAACCCAGGAACUGCGUCCGAGACUGGGGGGCUAGAAUCCGGGAGAGGGAUGCGGAAUUCCAGGUGUAGCGGUGAAAUGCGUAGAUAUCAGGAGGAACACCAAUUGCGAAGGCAGCUCGCUGGGACGUGACUGACGCUGAGACGCGAAAGCGUGGGGAGCAAACAGG
This 253-nucleotide ribosomal RNA is filed under the name uncultured bacterium. RNAcentral's name for it is "partial 16S ribosomal RNA". It matches the Rfam family "Bacterial small subunit ribosomal RNA", at positions 524 to 776 of the family's 1533-position model. The record is from RNAcentral.